Long non-coding RNA from Phocoena sinus (vaquita), 2252 nucleotides. NCBI's taxonomy places the organism in Eukaryota, Metazoa, Chordata, Mammalia, Artiodactyla, Phocoenidae. The record is from Ensembl.
GGGAGAGAGGGAGGGAGGGAGGAAGGAAGGGAGAGAGGGAGGGAGAAAGAAAAAGACAAAAUGUCUCCUCCUUUAUUUACUUAUUUCUAUUUCUUUUAACCAUUCUUAGGAGCCCCCUGCUCCAAAUGUAUUAUUUCUCGGUGGUUAUUUAAAUCAGACAAUUUACUUGUGACGUUUAUUAAUGGUUAAAAGUAAGUAUUCUUUAAACUUUGGGAAACAAACCCACACAGUUGUUGGGGACCCAGUGUUCAUCUCCAUGCCGUGUUCGCCCCUCGCUCAGCAAACGCUGAGUGCCUACUGUGUGUAAUCUCCUGCUGCAACACAGAGAUGGAUGGCAUUCAGCUCCAAUCCAGAGGAGCAUAGGAAAGUUUAGAAGAGGAAAGAGACCUGUAAAGAAUAAACCAGCCCACAGGGCAUGUUGAAGUGAGGAUUAUGAGAGAGAGAAACUCAAAAGGCUAUAGGAAUACACAGAAAGGAAAGCUAAUGUCUGCUGGAAUAUUCAGAAGGCUUCAAGGAGAAUUUGGCAUUUGAAGGAGGCCUCUUAGGAUGAGUGAUUCAUCUGCUGCUCGAAUGAAUUAGAUUUAGGACCAAGUUUUAGGUGACUAGCCUGAGCUGUGUGUGCCCUUGAGCUGUUAGAAGAAAAACGCCUUAAGUAUGUAUUUUCUUUCUUUAAACUAUAAAAUUAACUAAUAAUAUGCAUUUUUUUACAUAAUUUAGAUAGGAUAAAGUUUUGAUAAAAACAAUGCUUUAUUAAAAUAGCUAUGUUUUUUAAAGAAUGUGGAAUACUUUUGAAAAGUUACACUUAAAUUAGGAGAUUUUUUAAUAUUAAAAUCUCAGCAUUCUCAUUUUGAUUUAUUCAAAAGCUUUUCUUUUUGAGAGCUUUAAGUCUUUUGCUGGGGGGGGGUUGUUAAGAAACAAACCGAAAACCCCCCAAUAUUUAUAAACACAGUUAAUCUUAAAUGCAAACCAUUCCUUCCAAUUCAGUAGGAAUCUUGACAUCCACUACUAUGACCGAAUUUCAGUACUGCAACUUUAUAUUAAAUGAAACCAUUAUGGCAGGUUAUAAAUAUCCUUAAGUAUAAAGAAAUUAGUCAGUUACAAGACUUACUAAGUGUUAGCGACUUAGUAAGUUACAAAGUUGCUAAUACAUAGAGACUUCGUGUGAUGCAGAUGAAAGGGAGGGUAAAUUUUCAUACUACCUGCUCUCCUACUAAGUUUGAUGUCCCCAAAUUGUAGUUUGGUUUGAUUUAAUGUAAUUCCUUGUAGAAAUUUUGAAAGUAUACCUUUGGAUGAAUAGCUAUUUUUGAUUCUUCCAGUUGAAUAUCAAAUUGACAGUAAAAACAAAUGCAUACUUUUAGGAAGCCUUUUAGUAAAUUUAGGCUUUUAAGAAAGAUUUUAAACCUAAAGCAUGGGUAUGAGACCCACCGUUUUUCCUUUGAGAUGAAACUUAGUUUCUACUUAUAUCAUUACUUAAAAGGCUUAAAAAAGAAAAAAAAAGUUAGCAGACUCUUGAAUCCCCCUUUCAGUACUGUUUACACACGCACACACGCAUACACACACACACACACACUGUUAAAUUAUCCGUUUUAAAUAGAGUUCUAGUAAACAGCUGUCUUUCUGUUCCUUGUCUAAAGAGCAUCUUUGAUGUAACAAAUGAAAUAUAAGAACAUCUUUCUACUAUUUCAUAGUAACCAGAGUCUGAGUAUUUACAUAUACCCAGAGUUAACUUAUGCAUAUAUAUUAGGAUGUGAGAGUAUCAACUUUAUAUUGACAUAUAAAACCUCCUAAUGACCUGAAAUCAUUAAAAUAUUAUACUUUCUGUCCUGCAAAAAUUUUCAGCCAAAUGGUUUGACUAAUAUUUAAGUGUAUUCUGCUACUAUUUGCGAUGAUGAUAUUAGCACUUUUAAAAUAAUGUUUCUCUGUAACAGAGAGCAUUAGUUGAUAGCAGAAUUUUAUUCUCAUAUUUAUAUUCACAGUACUUUUGCUCUGUCUAUCCUGCAGUCACUCCAUAAAGUACCAUGUAUGAUUUUUAAAAACUAAAUGAAAAAAACAAAAGUAGGCAAAUGUGAAAAUAGUUUCAAUAUGUAUUUUAGAAUUUCUGUAUGUAAAAUGUUUUGUUGAAUUAUAUGGUCAUCAUGACUAAGUGCUCUAGUUUACAGUUAUAGAUUUGGUCUCUUUUUAAAUGUGGAAAUUUAAUCUUAAAUAUUUUUCAACUGGAUCUGUAUUAUCCCAAAUAUAUUAUUUUGAAAUUU